This is a long non-coding RNA of Piliocolobus tephrosceles (Ugandan red Colobus), 957 nucleotides long. RefSeq lists it as uncharacterized. The record is from RefSeq and is a predicted model, not a curated record. The transcript has 3 exons. NCBI's taxonomy places the organism in Eukaryota, Metazoa, Chordata, Mammalia, Primates, Cercopithecidae.
GAGAAGAGAAACUGGGAAACAGCAUUCUAGAAUGGAAAUGGAGGAGGAUUUCCAGCAGUACUAAAGAAAGGCCAGAUGGUGAUUUCUUUUCCAUCCAGUUAACCUUUCUUGACUAAGGUCAGCUGUCAUGCUCCUUGUCAUCUGCAGUCUGGUGUGCAGGCUGAAGAAACAGCCCUGUGUGGGACACUGCUGGUCUUGUGGUAGAAAGAAAAGAAAGACGAUGGAAUCACACUGUGAUUCAGAUUGUGGGCUGCACUUCCAGUCAUGUUUUAUUGGCUAAAGUGUGUGCCUGUCCUCAACCCGGAACACUGGAACAAGCAUCAAAGCCUUACGAAGAGAAUCAGGACAUCCUACUGAGUGCCAGAACAUUUCUUUCCCCAAGAAAAGGAAAUACAAAUGGAUUUAUUCUCAGGGUCUACAGAUUUAGCACCAAAAAAAAAAAAAAAAAGCUGCGCUUAACACCAGGCCACUGUACAAUCACCAGGACCUUUCUGGAUGUGGAGCAACUUCAUUUGUUUAUUUCAGAAUGCUUUGUAAACAGCGCAGACACGGACAAAGCACGGCUGAAGCAUUUCAGUUGUACUUGUCUCUCAUUUUCUACACGUGUUUUCCCAAAGGCUGCUUUCCCAAAGGGAGCCUGGGGAGAGGCCUUAAUCAUCUGUUAUCUCUCUUGCAGCUUCCUGCUCAGCCAGUGGCAACAUCCAAAAUAUAUACGAGCAUUUCCUGUUCUUUCUCAUUUUGUAUAACCCACAUGCUAGAGAGAUUGAGUUGUCUGAUCUAGCUCCACAUAGGACUUAGGUGGCACGUGGGAACCUAAGUCCAACCACUAAAUGCUCUAAUUACCCGUCUUCUUAACCUAGGUAAAGAGUGAUCUCUUUCAAGACUACAAUGUGCUUAUCUUUCCUUGGACGUUCAAAACAAGACAAAGCAAAACAAGAGUCUGUUUUUAAAUGUCAA